This 240-nucleotide long non-coding RNA is filed under the name Ananas comosus (pineapple). RNAcentral's name for it is "long non-coding RNA (ACOM_LNC004090)". Lineage: Eukaryota; Viridiplantae; Streptophyta; Magnoliopsida; Poales; Bromeliaceae. The record is from RNAcentral.
UUGUUUUGUUUUGUUUUUUGUUUUUUUUUUGAAUUUUUCCUAGUCAUUUUGUUUAUUUUAUUUUUUUAGAAAAAUAAUUUAUCUCAUAUGUAAAAGAUCUCGAGCAUCGGAUGCUUAUCUAUCUUUGCAAUAAAAAUGCCGACUAGAACUUUUCCAGCUGGAUGGCUUUAUAUUCCAAUAAAAACACGACGAGAAUCAGCAUCUAGAAUCCAACUCUGAUUCAAAAACCCGCGAACGCUU